This 492-nucleotide ribosomal RNA is filed under the name Pseudomonas aeruginosa. RNAcentral's name for it is "partial 23S ribosomal RNA". It matches the Rfam family "Bacterial large subunit ribosomal RNA", at positions 2453 to 2925 of the family's 2925-position model. The record is from RNAcentral. Lineage: Bacteria; Pseudomonadati; Pseudomonadota; Gammaproteobacteria; Pseudomonadales; Pseudomonadaceae.
CGGAUAAAAGGUACUCCGGGGAUAACAGGCUGAUACCGCCCAAGAGUUCAUAUCGACGGCGGUGUUUGGCACCUCGAUGUCGGCUCAUCACAUCCUGGGGCUGAAGCCGGUCCCAAGGGUAUGGCUGUUCGCCAUUUAAAGUGGUACGCGAGCUGGGUUUAGAACGUCGUGAGACAGUUCGGUCYCUAUCUGCCGUGGACGUUUGAGAUUUGAGAGGGGCUGCUCCUAGUACGAGAGGACCGGAGUGGACGAACCUCUGGUGUUCCGGUUGUCACGCCAGUGGCAUUGCCGGGUAGCUAUGUUCGGAAAAGAUAACCGCUGAAAGCAUCUAAGCGGGAAACUUGCCUCAAGAUGAGAUCUCACUGGGAACUUGAUUCCCCUGAAGGGCCGUCGAAGACUACGACGUUGAUAGGCUGGGUGUGUAAGCGUUGUGAGGCGUUGAGCUAACCAGUACUAAUUGCCCGUGAGGCUUGACCAUAUAACACCCAAACA